This is a long non-coding RNA of Anas platyrhynchos (mallard), 2826 nucleotides long. RefSeq lists it as uncharacterized. Lineage: Eukaryota; Metazoa; Chordata; Aves; Anseriformes; Anatidae. The record is from RefSeq and is a predicted model, not a curated record.
GGGGGCGGAUUUAGGGAGGUGGUCCCGGGCUGGGCUCAGGCUGAAGGGCAGGUGGGGGGUGGCCAGGGGGUGUAUGUGUGUAGCUGGUGGUGGUCCUGUUUCCUGAAAGCUGGUGCUGUGGCACCUGGAUGUCUGGGGCUGAUGUGUGGUGGAUUACAAAUGCAGACGUCGUGGCUGCGGGCUGAGAAGGGCCUGGGGCUUGCGUUGCUCUUCCUUUUGCAGGCAGGAGCCCGUCAGCCCGCGCCAGUCUGCUGCACCAUCCUUCAUCCUGGUCUAGCACCACAGGUUCUCUGCCAAGCACCGAAAAGAGCAGCCUUGUCCUCCACCUCCACUGAUGGCCACCUGAAGGACCUCUUCAGAGCCAUUUCUGCUGCCCACCUGCCAACCAUGGGGCUUCUGCGGGCUCCUUUGCUUUGCUCUGCUCCCUCCCCUCCAGGCCUUGGCACCAGGGCGAGACGUGUCCUCAGUUGUGCAAGGAAGUACCUGAGGACCAUAACUCCACAUGGAGACUGUGAGCCUUCCUCCUCCGUGCAUCCUCACAAUAAUGCAGUGACCCUAUGGAUUUCACUCGCAGGAAGAGCAUCUCCUUUCUCUAGGGUACUGCUGGACUCAGCACCAUAAUUGUAACAGAAGACUGCUUUUGCCUCAUUAACAGGCACAAUUUUAUUUCUAAAUAUGAAAAGAUUAGGUAAAAUCCUAAACAGUAAGACUGGAAGGUCACUCCUGAGGUGUAGGUCUGUAAUGCUGCCCAAGCCUGGGGGCUGGUAGCUUCUGGGCAAUGGGAGAACCAGUAAACCCAAUAGCCACACAGAUCUGUGGCUCUUUGUGCUAGAUCAGGGGCAGCGUUGAACUUAGCAGUGAAGAGGAAAGCACAGAUGUUCAUGGGAGGAAAAUAAUUUUAUUCUGAGAACUCUAUCAAUGAACACCAAAUGUCCAACAGAUUUUGUAAACCCCUUGAGCAUGCUUUGUGAUGGCCAAAUGGUUUGAAAUCCUGGUCACCGAAGUUCUCCACGGAAAACACGCAAGCUGCAGGAAGGCUCGCUCUGCGGGAUUAAAUGGCGCCGCAUGGAGAGACCACCCAGGCAAACACGCCGAAAUCAUUUAGGCCAGGUCUACAUUACCGACUUUUUCCAGUAGAGCCGUGUUGGGCAUAGGGAUGGUGGCCUGUGAUCUCUCACCAGCAGAGCUGUGCUAGCAGAAGCAUGCUUUUUUGAAAAUAUGUACGAAGAAAAUUACUUUUAUUUUCAUUGGAAUCCUAUAAGUGUCUUUGACAAUCGUUGCCAUAAUAUUGUUUAUAUAAGCAGAGGUACCCAUAUACGAAGUAUGGAAAUAUUGCCACAUUAUAAACAUAAGAGCUGGGUUAAACCUGAGAUCCUCCUGAGUAUCUAUGGGAUGUUGCCAUUCUACUGACAUAUGGUAAUGUUUUCUCCCAAUAAUCUCCUGCAGAAGUAGUUCUGGGCCAACUAGUCAUACAUUUAAAUUCCAUAAAAUAUAUAGCAGAGUUUAUAAAGUUAUUAGAACAAAAAUGUUUUUGGAGAUCUCAUUUCAUUGUACAAUAUGCGGCUUCAGCAAAAGAAAUCUGUAAACAGAUAUUUUAGCUUCAUACAGAACUCUUUUUAAUAUUUACUCUGACAAUCCUAAUGGUGGAUUUCAGCCAAAAUGUUUGUGCAGCUUCAUGCCUUAAGGUUUCUACUUCAGAUUUACAGUUGAAUGUUUUCCUGUGUGAUGGAUGAUUAUUUAAAACUGCUGCUCUCUCCAGUCCUCAAAAUGCCAAAAAGACAGUUUUUGUUGCAAGCUAUAAUUUAAACGUAGAGCCAGAUUCUGCAUUCACUUCAUGUCAGUGUUUGUACAUGGGAUGAAAUCCUGGAGGCCACCCCAUGCAGAAGUAACAGAAGAACAGGAUCAGGUCCUUCAGGGUUCAGUUAAACAGUAACAAAUAAUAUUAAUGUACAUCUACUAAAUAAUUAUGUUUGCUAAAGUAAUCAAACUGAGGCACUACCAGAAUCUUUAUGGCGAUUUUAAAUCUUCUCUAUUAAUAUAGCUUUCUGCAAAAGCUGUCCGUGUGUCCAGCACUGGGCUCGAGGAUGGGUAGGAGUCAGCUGACAAGAGCUUCAUAGGGCUCCGAGUACAUAUCAGCGCGUCCAAAGGAUGCUUCAGGAGAGAGGGACGAGCAGUUGGCUAGUACCUGGCCUGUCCCUGCAGAGCUGGGCAGUGCAGCUACCUGAGCCGUGUCAAGUGGCGAGCCUCAGGUCCGAGCAGAGUCCAGCAGAGUACUUCUGCACACACCGCUCACAACCCUUUCCAUGAGCAAAGCCCAUAAUACUCUCCUGUGGUGUCAGCAGUGACAGCUACUGCCCGUCCUCUGAUGGCAGUGUUAAACGGCUUCAUACUCCAUCUGCACAAGGCAAGCUGAGACAAAAUGAUGUGAGAAGUGUGAAAAGAAUUAGAUUUUUAAAGUUAAUUUAAAUACAGUAACCUCUUAAAGGCCUGAGGAAAUGCUAUUGAGCAACGGGGAGCAGUUAGGGUAAUAAUGUAACAGAGGCAUGGUUAUGGAAAUUGCCAUGUUCAUUAAACAUUUAUUCCAAAUAUAACCCUUCACUCUUCCCAUCUGCAGAAAAUGUAAAACAAUUCUAAGUGGCUGGUGCACCUGAAUUGCUCGAAUUACCUCAGUGAUUGAUCGUGAGUUUAUACUAAGCUUAGAAUUUCACAAUGAUCCCUUUCUGUUUGCUUGUUUGUAUUUAAUCUAGGUCUAAAGAGAGAAUGUAAUCAAAUAAUGAGAUUAAUACAAAUUCUGGUGUAUUUGUACUGAAUAAAUGAUUGCCAGUG